AUGGGCACGAGUGCUGUGCUGGGUGAAUCGAUCCAGUCCAACAAACCCGAAGUGUCUGCAGGAGUAGGCGACAAUGUGACACUCAGCUGUUCUUACAAUACCAGCUACUCUGAUGUCUAUCUCUACUGGUACCGUCAGUUUCCUGACCAAGGCCCGCAGUACGUUCUCCGAACAGGUGCCAAGGCAUACAGCUCUGUCCGGGGUUUUGCAGAGUUUGCCAAGAAGAGAUUUACUCCCCAGGCUGAUGACACCUCUACAGUUGUGACUAUCACAGCCCUGGAGCUGGCAGAUUCAGCGGUGUAUCUCUGCGCCCUGCAGAGGGCCCAGUGA
Caretta caretta (loggerhead turtle) is the source of this 330-nucleotide non-coding RNA. The record is from the annotation of a RefSeq genome assembly. NCBI's taxonomy places the organism in Eukaryota, Metazoa, Chordata, Testudines, Cheloniidae.